GUGGAAGGGAAAAAAUAUAGUCUUCAAGCCCCUUUCUCAUCCUCCAGAGACCCUGCGGUUCCAGGAGUCUAUCUCAGUGGUGGGAAAACCUCAACCUGCACUGCACAGGCCCAACUCAGUGAGCAUGUGCAGUGUCUGCGCGUGCGCACCCCUUGCUGCGCAUGCGCUUUGGUGUGCAUCGGCCUUCCUGAGCGUUCUGUGAGGAGCGUUGGGCCUGAGGCGGGUGUGUUUAUUCAGUCCCGGUUCUUUGUCACUUCUUGAGACUCACCAGGGAGAAAUAUGAGUGGGCAAGUGGCAUCAACAUUGGGACCUACAAAGCAAGAUUGCUCCCAGGUGGAUGAACCUGUGGUUGAGCAGCAGCACAGUGUUGAGCAAUCUCAACAAGAAGAACCACCAGCUGAGAUUCAGGAUAUCACACCUAGAAAGGAGGAAGUACAUGGAGAGGAUCCAGUGAAUCGUGAUGAAGAAGAGGAGAAGGAUCCCUUUGAAGAUUCUGGCCUGGAAGCUGAUCUCCAGCGAUUGGCUCUGGCAAAGACUGGGGGUGAAGGUGGAGAUGGUCCCGAUGUCAGGGAGGAGUUUGCGUCAAAUAUAGAGCCUGUUGAAAUGCCAGAAGCAGGUAUGUCAUCCAUUCAGAAAGUAAUUUAUGUGGUUUCUGUUUUUCAGAAUAUUAUAUCUUUACUAAUAUAGAGGGAACAUUACUAUUAUUUUAAUAAUAGAGUUCACAUAUUCUUUGAAAGGUAGUUCAGACCCCAGAUACCUGAGUGCCUGACUUAUAGACUUUCAAAUAAAGAAACAGACAGGAUCA
Molecule: long non-coding RNA, 805 nt
Filed under: Bos indicus x Bos taurus (hybrid cattle)
Lineage: Eukaryota; Metazoa; Chordata; Mammalia; Artiodactyla; Bovidae
Description: lncRNA (ENSBIXG00005011926.1)
Source: RNAcentral